This 497-nucleotide ribosomal RNA is filed under the name uncultured bacterium. RNAcentral describes it as "partial 16S ribosomal RNA". It matches the Rfam family "Bacterial small subunit ribosomal RNA", at positions 28 to 507 of the family's 1533-position model. The record is from RNAcentral.
GAUGAACGCUGGCGGCGUGCCUAAUACAUGCAAGUCGAGCGAACGGACGAGAAGCUUGCUUCUCUGAUGUUAGCGGCGGACGGGUGAGUAACACGUGGAUAACCUACCUAUAAGACUGGGAUAACUUCGGGAAACCGGAGCUAAUACCGGAUAAUAUUUUGAACCGCAUGGUUCAAAAGUAAAAGACGGUCUUGCUGUCACUUAUAGAUGGAUCCGCGCUGCAUUAGCUAGUUGGUAAGGUAACGGCUUACCAAGGCAACGAUGCAUAGCCGACCUGAGAGGGUGAGCGGCCACACUGGAACAGUGACACAGUCCAGACUCCUACGGGAGGCAGCAGUAGGGAGUCUUCCGCAAUAGGCGAAAGCCUGACGGGGCAACGCCGCGUGAGUGAUGAAGGUCUUCGGAGCGUAAAACUCUGUUAUUAGGGAGGAACAUAUGUGUAAGUAACUGUGCGCAUCUUGACGGGGCCUAAUCAGAAAGCCACGGCUAACUACGUG